UACGGAGGGGGCUAGCGUUGUUCGGAAUUACUGGGCGUAAAGCGCGCGUAGGCGGACCUGUAAGUCGGGGGUGAAAGCCCGAGGCUCAACCUCGGAACUGCCUUCGAUACUGCGGGUCUCGAGUCCGGGAGAGGUGAGUGGAAUUCCUAGUGUAGAGGUGAAAUUCGUAGAUAUUAGGAAGAACACCAGUGGCGAAGGCGGCUCACUGGCUCGGUACUGACGCUGAGGCGCGAAAGCGUGGGGAGCAAACAGG
RNAcentral lists this ribosomal RNA (253 nucleotides) under uncultured bacterium. RNAcentral describes it as "partial 16S ribosomal RNA". It matches the Rfam family "Bacterial small subunit ribosomal RNA", at positions 524 to 776 of the family's 1533-position model. The record is from RNAcentral.